This 68-nucleotide small RNA is filed under the name Micromonospora sp. CB01531. RNAcentral's name for it is "Transposase-2 RNA". It matches the Rfam family "Transposase-2 RNA". The record is from Rfam by way of RNAcentral. Lineage: Bacteria; Bacillati; Actinomycetota; Actinomycetes; Micromonosporales; Micromonosporaceae.
GAAGCGUCAACCCGGCCCCGCCCAGGCGGACAAGACCGGGACCGUCCCACCGCAAGGCGGGACAUGCC